UCCUUGGUGGCUCAGCUGGUAAAGAAUCUGCCUGCAAUGCAGGAGACCUGGGUUCAAUCCCUGGAUUGGGAA
This 72-nucleotide transfer RNA is filed under the name Bos taurus (domestic cattle). It matches the Rfam family "tRNA". From Rfam's summary of the family: Transfer RNA (tRNA) molecules are approximately 80 nucleotides in length. Their secondary structure includes four short double-helical elements and three loops (D, anti-codon, and T loops). Further hydrogen bonds mediate the characteristic L-shaped molecular structure. tRNAs have two regions of fundamental functional importance: the anti-codon, which is responsible for specific mRNA codon recognition, and the 3' end, to which the tRNAs corresponding amino acid is attached (by aminoacyl-tRNA synthetases). tRNAs cope with the degeneracy of the genetic code in two manners: having more than one tRNA (with a specific anti-codon) for a particular amino acid; and 'wobble' base-pairing, i.e. permitting non-standard base-pairing at the 3rd anti-codon position. RNAcentral also lists the same sequence under 4 other names. Lineage: Eukaryota; Metazoa; Chordata; Mammalia; Artiodactyla; Bovidae. The record is from Rfam by way of RNAcentral.